CUAGCCCUAAACGAUGUUUACUUGGUGUCGGUGGCUUAAUCGCCAUCGGUAUCGUAGCUAACGCGAUAAGUAAACCGCCUGGGGACUACGGCCGCAAGGUUAAAACUCAAAGGAAUUGACGGGUCCCCGCACAAGCAGCGGAGCGUGUGGUUUAAUUCGUUGCUACACGAAGAACCUUACCUGGGUUUGACAUAGCAGUGGUAGGGAAACGAAAGUGGACCGACCCUUCGGGGAGCUGUUACAGGUGU
Molecule: ribosomal RNA, 248 nt
Filed under: uncultured Anaerolineaceae bacterium
Lineage: Bacteria; Bacillati; Chloroflexota; Anaerolineae; Anaerolineales; Anaerolineaceae
Description: partial 16S ribosomal RNA
Rfam family: Bacterial small subunit ribosomal RNA
Source: RNAcentral